Molecule: ribosomal RNA, 117 nt
Organism: Chelonoidis abingdonii (Abingdon island giant tortoise)
Lineage: Eukaryota; Metazoa; Chordata; Testudines; Testudinidae
Source: Ensembl
GUUUGCAGCCAUAGCACCUUGUACUGUAAUCCUGCCAGGUCUCACAAGCUAAGCUGGGUCAGGCCAGGUUGGUACUUAGACCAGAGACCACCCAGGAGCAGGUAGGUGCUGCAGGAG